UAAUAUUUGAAAAACUAAUUUUUGAAAACUAGUGGAUAAUGUUUUGUUGAAUUUCAGUUAAAAAAAAGUUAAAAUUUGGAUAAUAUUAUUUUGAUUGAAUUUUUGAUAAAAGAUUUGAUUUGAUUUUUAAAUUAUGAUAUGGACUUGGGAGGCUAAAACCCCAAUUUUAACUUUUUACUAAAAUCUUUUCGUUUUAUUUUUAGAUUAUGAUAUGGACUUGGGAUAAUAUUAUUAUUUUUUGGUUUUGUUUGGUCAAAAGAAUGGAUUAGCCCGUGUUUUUUCUUUAGACUUUCGUUGAGCCAAAACGGUUUCUGUCCCAAGAAAUUAACAAAAAUGGCCCAAAGGCCUGUUUCCAUAAGAAAUAUGAUACAAAAAUUACAAUUUAAUCCCUAAUCUUCUAAAUAAUUUCACUAGACCCUAAAAACUUUAAAUUUCUUUCAAUUAGAUCCCUAAUUUAAUUAUAAUUUGAUCCCUAAACUUUAUCUUGUGUUCAAUUUUAACCCCUAACUUUUAAAAAAAUGAUAAUUUGACUCCAAAAAUUUUCUUUUAUAAAUUGGACAAUAGUUAAUCUGAAUAAAUGUAGCGGAUAAUUUUUUUUAUAUAAAUAUAAAGGGUCGCCAUGCUUACCGAUGCCACAAUUUUUUUCAGUAAAAAUAGCUUACCAUGUCUUAUCAGUAUGACGGAUUAUUUCUUUUCUUUUUUUUUAUUUGUUAAUGGGUCACCGUGCUACAAGUACAACAGCCCAGAAUAAUUUUUUAAAAAAUUGCCCUCAAGCCCAUAAUAGGCUAAUUACUUAGAAUAUUAGCAAAAAAAAAAAAAAUCAAACACUUAUUAUUCUGACAGGAGUGUGGUAGCAAUCUAUUGAUGCCGGGCUGUGUCAGUCAGGCACCUGACACAAUUUUUUUAAAAAAAGAUGACAGGAUGUCGGGCUCUGUUAGCCAACAGCCAGUCAA
This 953-nucleotide long non-coding RNA is filed under the name Coffea arabica (coffee). Its description in RNAcentral is "long non-coding RNA (CARA_LNC003826)". The record is from RNAcentral. Lineage: Eukaryota; Viridiplantae; Streptophyta; Magnoliopsida; Gentianales; Rubiaceae.